AGCGCGUAGUCGGGGGGCCUGAAGGCUGAGAUCGCAUCACGCGAGACCCGUUGAACCUGAUUCAGUUAACACUGGCGUAGGGAACUAUAUGUCUUGUCAU
Molecule: non-coding RNA, 100 nt
Filed under: Photobacterium sp.
Lineage: Bacteria; Pseudomonadati; Pseudomonadota; Gammaproteobacteria; Vibrionales; Vibrionaceae
Also listed under: 1 other name
Description: TPP sequence
Rfam family: TPP riboswitch aptamer (THI element)
About the family: Vitamin B(1) in its active form thiamin pyrophosphate (TPP) is an essential coenzyme that is synthesised by coupling of pyrimidine and thiazole moieties in bacteria.
Source: RNAcentral